AUAAGAGCUGAAGGCCUCAUGACCUGGUAUAUUUCAUUGCUGUAGCCAGCCAAGAAGUGAUAAAGGCACAGUGGGUUGCUGAAAUCACUACUGUGGAGGGCCACUGCACUUCCCACACAUGAGCACCUAAUGGACUGGUUCUGUAAGUAUUACUACACUUCAGCAGUGGAACUGGAAAUCUACCUCUGAGAAAAAGCAAUGACUAAGCUAAGACCAGAUGUGCAUAAUUAGCAGACACCUCAACAAGUUCAAAGAAGCUUUUGAAAUUAUCCUUGGAGAAGACAGGAUACAGAAACCACACCUGUUUGCU
Molecule: long non-coding RNA, 310 nt
Organism: Mauremys reevesii (Reeves's turtle)
Lineage: Eukaryota; Metazoa; Chordata; Testudines; Geoemydidae
Exons: 3
Source: RefSeq, a predicted model, not a curated record